This 72-nucleotide transfer RNA is filed under the name Camelus bactrianus (Bactrian camel). It matches the Rfam family "tRNA". From Rfam's summary of the family: Transfer RNA (tRNA) molecules are approximately 80 nucleotides in length. The record is from Rfam by way of RNAcentral. Lineage: Eukaryota; Metazoa; Chordata; Mammalia; Artiodactyla; Camelidae. RNAcentral also lists the same sequence under 2 other names.
GAGGGUAUAAGUCAGUGGUAGAGUGUGUGCUUGGCAUGCACAGGGUCUUGGGUUCAAUUCCCAGUGCCUCUU